AUUGAACGCUGGCGGCCGGCCUAACACAUGCAAGUCGAGCGGAUGAAGGGAGCUUGCUCCUGGAUUCAGCGGCGGACGGGUGAGUAAUGCCUAGGAAUCUGCCUGGUAGUGGGGGAUAACGUCCGGAAACGGGCGCUAAUACCGCAUACGUCCUGAGGGAGAAAGUGGGGGAUCUUCGGACCUCACGCUAUCAGAUGAGCCUAGGUCGGAUUAGCUAGUUGGUGGGGUAAAGGCCUACCAAGGCGACGAUCCGUAACUGGUCUGAGAGGAUGAUCAGUCACACUGGAACUGAGACACGGUCCAGACUCCUACGGGAGGCAGCAGUGGAGAAUAUUGGACAAUGGGCGAAAGCCUGAUCCAGCCAUGCCGCGUGUGUGAAGAAGGUCUUCGGAUUGUAAAGCACUUUAAGUUGGGAGGAAGGGCAGUAAGUUAAUACCUUGCUGUUUUGACGUUACCAACAGAAUAAGCACCGGCUAACUUCGUG
Molecule: ribosomal RNA, 484 nt
Filed under: uncultured bacterium
Lineage: Bacteria
Description: partial 16S ribosomal RNA
Rfam family: Bacterial small subunit ribosomal RNA
Source: RNAcentral